CAAAUCGUCGUCGUUUUGCGAAAAUCGCCCAUAGGGAAGCCAUUCUGCGAAGCGCCGUUCAGCUGUUAAAAUCGCUGUCUUGCGAAGCACUGGUCCCGAAAACACCCGUUUUGCGAAGCGCCGAUCAGCUGUUAAAAUCAUCAUCUUGCGAAAAUCGGUUUUAAAAAAACCGUAUUGCAAAUCACAGACCUAAACAUCAUAUAGCGAAAAUCGCCCAUAGGAAAUACUGUUUUGUGAAGCGCUAUAGCAAUCACAAAAACUCAUCAUCAUGCGAAUUUGUCAUUUUGCGAGGUAAUCGUCUAGCGGGGCACCACUGUACCUGUAGUCAUCUGGUUGAUGGGUACAACAACUAGGAUGCGUGACUGAACCAGUCUUUGGUCUGAUCACAGAGAAUACAUCUAUUUAUGCUUCCUUUUUAUUUCCUAGCCUUUUGGGCCCUGAUUGCCAUGGCCAGCUUCACAGGCGUUACAAGUCAUCUGACUGUUUCUUAUGGAUGGUCUUUCAGCUUGGGAUGGGCUUCUUGUCUUCUGUUCCUGAUAACAGGUGUGCUGGGUCACCUAGCCCGAAGAGAAUUGUCAGGUGCUGAGUCCUUUUAAGAUGACAACCCCCCCCACUCUUUUACGGGUAGAAUGGGGACGCGGAGAGAGGCUACAAUGAACUUGAGCUCAUUUGGAUGAGACUGUAUCUCCAAGAGGCCCCUGACUUCAAAGGCAGUGGAAGGGGACAGAACCACAGAGGAUUGUUCCCGUGGCGCUGUCUGUUCAGAUCCCACCAUGAAUGUCCUGCAGAUGUGCUCAGCGAUCUGCUCUUUUGUCAGCCUCCUCCUGCUCCUCAUUUCCCUUGGCUCAGACUACUGGGUGGUAAAUGGCACUGUGCAUGCGGGUCUGUGGAACUUUUGCGUCUCAAGUGUGUGCAGUCCAUUUGGAAUGGACGUGGCAGCUGGGGACCACGCCACUCGAGCAUUUAUGCUGCUAGGGAUGAUCGCUGGCGCUGUCUCUUUCUUUGGUAUUUGCGCCUCAUUCUUUAAAUCUCAAGUCGGCUCCAUGUCCCUGAUCAAGACUUCAGCUGACGUCAGUAUUGUUGCAGCUAUUUGUGCCAUGAUCGCCAUGUCCGUCUUCACAGGAUUAUCAUCUGGUUCACGUGGUUUUUAUGGAUGGUCUUUUGGCUUGGGAUGGGCCUCAUUUCCUCUCUUCCUGAUAACAGGUGUGCUGGCUUACCUAUCACGAACUCUAUCGCCAGAAUGAUUGUAAUGGAAAGGUGCUGAGGCCUUUUGAGAUGACACCCCAAGCUCUUCUAUUGGAACGGUGGACGCAUGGAGAGAAGCCACAGUAGAACUGAACUCUAUUUGGAAGAGACUGUAUCUCCAAGAGGCUCCUGAUUACGAAGGCAGCAAUUUAGAAUUUGGAACCACAGAGGUUGAUAGCCACAAUUUUACAGAAGUGAAUCUGCUCCUGGUUUUCCUUUUUUCUUCUUCUUGACCCUGUACAUGUGUACAGGAAUGGUGUGGUGGAUACACUCCCUGCAAUUGGUUCAGCACCUUGGAAAGCUCCUUUAAAGUUUUUAGUAAAACCAGGAAUGGAUUCCCUUCUCCUGCAUCUUUGGGCUCACCAGCCUGCUUCUGGUCCCAGACAGACCUGUUGUUCAGUCAAUGAAGCUACUCUUCUCUCCCCCCCCCCAUUUUUCCUUUGAGUGAGUUCUUCUGAGAAUCAAACUGCUCCCUGGUAAAUGAAUUUAUUUCUUUGCUCCCUUUUUCUUGUUCUUCUUCUUCUUAACCAAGUGUGCAUUCUAAGAAACGCCUCAAAAGCCACCAUCCACCCAUUUUCUGUUGUAUCAGAGCCUUGUACCAAUGACUGGGCAAAGGUCUUUGCGCUGUACCAGAACAGCUGCUUGAGAGCCAUUAUUUUAAGUGCAGGGUCCAUCAUGACAGCUGAUCACCUUGAUCCUUUUCAUAAUGGUUUUAUCUAACAUUUUUAAUAUCAUGUUAUUGAUUGUUCUUUCGUACUGAAUAAUUUACUGUGUUUAGCUUUUCAUAUUGCGCUUUUAAUUAUGUAAGCCACCUUGAGUCCUUUUUCUAAGGAGAAAGGCAGGAUAAAUGUAUUAUAAAUAAAAAAUAAAACAUGAAAAAAAUGUCA
This 2132-nucleotide long non-coding RNA is filed under the name Pogona vitticeps (central bearded dragon). RNAcentral describes it as "lncRNA (ENSPVIG00000006280.1)". Lineage: Eukaryota; Metazoa; Chordata; Lepidosauria; Squamata; Agamidae. The record is from RNAcentral.